RNAcentral lists this long non-coding RNA (494 nucleotides) under Mytilus galloprovincialis (Mediterranean mussel). Lineage: Eukaryota; Metazoa; Mollusca; Bivalvia; Mytilida; Mytilidae. The record is from RNAcentral.
UGCCGAUUUAUUGAAUGAGCAAAAGAAUGGACAGCUAUAACUAUUUAACUGGUAAACUUUUAUAUCAAAGAUUCAAAUUGCGAAAAGAAAAAAAAAGGUCCAAAACCGACCAACAAAUUUUACAAGCGAAAUGUUAAGAGGUAUUAACAAACACACAUAUAUGUAAACACAUCCCCAUCAUUCCUCGAAAAAAAGAAUGAUAAUAAAAAAUCUAAUUAAAAAAAAAAUAAUAUAAAAUUUAAAACAAAAGACACGUUGUUAAUUGCAUCAAAACUUAAAUAAAAUAGAGAAUGGAAAAGGGGAAUGUGUCAAAGGGACAGCAGCUUGUCAUAGAUGCGUUCAUAAGAACGGGUUUUACGAACAAAUUUAGAAAACUAAAUCCAAAAUGUUAACAGAGUCGGUUCUUGAUAUAUUACUCAAUUUCCAUGAUAUAAUCAGAAAAUUUGAUGUGUAUGUUUAUAACAUGAAUUUAAGAUACAAAUUGGAGAUAAACG